Molecule: ribosomal RNA, 406 nt
Filed under: uncultured bacterium
Lineage: Bacteria
Description: partial 16S ribosomal RNA
Rfam family: Bacterial small subunit ribosomal RNA
Source: RNAcentral
CUUGAACGCUGGCGGCAGGCCUAACACAUGCAAGUCGAACGAGCGGCGGACGGGUGAGUAAUGUCUGGGAAACUGCCUGAUGGAGGGGGAUAACUACUGGAAACGGUAGCUCAUACCGCAUACCAUCAGAUGUGCCCAGAUGGGAUUAGCUAGUAGGUGGGGUAACGGCUCACCUAGGCGAAGAUCCCUAGCUGGUCUGAGAGGAUGACCAGCCACUCUGGAACUGAGACACGGUCCAGACGCCUACGGGAGGCAGCAGUGGGAAAUAUUGCACAAUAGGCGGAAGUCUGAUGCAGCCAUGCCGCGUGUGUGAAGAAGGCCUUCGGGUUGUAAAGCACUUUCAGCGGGGAGGCGUUACCCGCAGAAGGAGCACCGGCUAACGCCGUGCCAGCAGCCGCGGUAAGUC